Coturnix japonica (Japanese quail) is the source of this 1513-nucleotide long non-coding RNA. RefSeq lists it as uncharacterized. The record is from RefSeq and is a predicted model, not a curated record. Lineage: Eukaryota; Metazoa; Chordata; Aves; Galliformes; Phasianidae.
GAGGGGGAACGGAGCUCGGUGGUGUCGCUGCCGUCUCCACCCGCCCGGAACUCUGGGCCGCCCACGUUUCCACCCGGAACGUUUUUAGCUUUGGUUUGGUGUCUUUCCAUACAUCUAUUCCUGGUGCAGCAUAAUGGAGGAGCUUCUUGCAGUGAUGGUGAUGGGUCAGCAAGGCAUGGGAAUGAAAUCUUACCUCUUUUCUGACAGUUUUAAUUCGAAUCCUUCAGUUUCCACACCUGGGAUAAUUGACUUUAUCAAUGAAUUUGCCUCUGGAAGUGCUACAGAUGGAAAGGAAUGAGGCUUCCAUAGCCAAAACCAAGCAGGGGUACAGCCAUAGAGACAGCAGCCCACUGGACUUCUGACCCAACUACAGCCCCUGCUGGACAGCCCAAGAGCUGAGCAGGAGCUGGCCUGAAGGAGAGGCCCAUAUGUUGUAUGGGAUUGUAUAGUGACACUGCACCAGCUUGUCUGAGCCCAUUGAGCCCCCAUAAUUUGCCAGCUAACACCCUUCCUUGUCCCUCAAUGCAUUGGGAGCAGCCUCUAAGACUCCCAGGCUUCUGAGCUUCCAAGGUUCUGAGCUUCCAAACUCUCCCAGCUCUGCAAUAAUGAUCCUUAUUCAUUUGGUAACAAGAAGCAUCAUCUCUCAAUGAGCAAAACAAGGAGGUUUUCUGCUUCUGGAGCUUCAGACAUUGAUCAUCAGCACAAGAAAUAACCAGUGUGUUCAGAACAGCACAGGGUCCCAAAGCAAAGCUAAAUGACAAGCACCUCUACAACGCUUUGCAUCACAGAUAUAAAGGGGGAUUAAAGCCAGGCCCUGACUGAGUGCAAUGACUCGCCUGGAUUUGCUGGGGGACGUUGGGAUAAAGCAGUAGAGUGCCAUAAAGAGGAUAAAGGAUUGGAGUCGGCGAGGAUAAAGGCGGAGGAACAGAUGGUGAGCAUUGCCAAGACUGGAGAAGUGAGCUCAAGACAUGGGAUAGCAUUCAUUUCAGCAGCAAACAGAAACAUAUGACAACAGAGAGCACAAGGAUUUGGGACACAAAGUCCUUUCAGCUUCACUUGGCCUUGACCAGUUUGGCUUUGGAUUGACUUGAGACAUCUUCAAGGUGAUGAAAAGAGCUUUAAAACUCACUUGGAAGAGCUUUUCUUGCCUUAAAACUCACUGGAGCUUUUCACAUAUUGCAUGGAGCAACCAAUUAACUCCAUAUAAUUGAUGUAUAUGUGGCCUUUCCAACAGGAUUUGGAUUCGCUUUUGGACCCAAAAGCACCUAUGGUCAUUUUGUUCUGUUCCCACCCCCGUAUCACUAUUAAAAGCAGAAGCACAACAAGAUUAUGAACAAAUAACGAGGUGAAAUAAACCAUCAUAAUUAAUUACACUUAUUUUCCAAGGGCAAUAGGAAACCACAGGCCAGAGCUGAAUAGAUACAGAUAUGAUUCCCAAGUCAAAAGAGAUGCUUGUAUUUACAGGACAGGGAUUGUGAUGCAAAUAGAUUCCUAUUUUCCUAUAUUAAGAAUG